CUAUUGCCGAUCGCCUUGAGUUGAUCUGGCUCAAAUCAACGCUGGCGGCGUGCCUAACACAUGCAAGUCGAACGCGAAAGCCCCGCAAGGGGUAAGUAGAGUGGCAAACGGGUGAGUAACACGUGGGUGACCUGCCUUCGAGCCGGGGAUAACGUCCCGAAAGGGACGCUAAUACCGCAUGACAUCCUGCCUUUGAAGAGGUGGAGAUCAAAGCUGGGGAUCGCAAGACCUAGCACUCGAAGAGGGGCCCGCGCCUGAUUAGCUAGUUGGUGGGGUAAUGGCUCACCAAGGCGACGAUCAGUAGCCGGCCUGAGAGGGCGGACGGCCACACUGGGACUGAGACACGGCCCAGACUCCUACGGGAGGCAGCAGUGGGGAAUUGUUCGCAAUGGGCGCAAGCCUGACGACGCAACGCCGCGUGGAGGACGAAGACCUUCGGGUCGUAAACUCCUUUCGAUCGAGGCGAACGGCCUCCGGGUGAACAAUCCGGAGGGGUGACGGUACCGAGAGAAGAAGCCCCGGCUAACUCCGUGCCAGCAGCCGCGGUAAUACGGGGGGGGCAAGCGUUGUUCGGAAUUACUGGGCGUAAAGGGCUCGUAGGUGGCCAACUAAGUCAGACGUGAAAUCCCUCGGCUUAACCGGGGAACUGCGUCUGAUACUGGAUGGCUUGAGAUUGGGAGAGGGAUGCGGAAUUCCAGGUGUAGCGGUGAAAUGCGUAGAUAUCUGGAGGAACACCGGUGGCGAAGGCGGCAUCCUGGACCAC
This 763-nucleotide ribosomal RNA is filed under the name uncultured bacterium. Its description in RNAcentral is "bacterial SSU rRNA". It matches the Rfam family "Bacterial small subunit ribosomal RNA", at positions 1 to 737 of the family's 1533-position model. The record is from RNAcentral.